RNAcentral lists this ribosomal RNA (861 nucleotides) under Dictyocoela sp. EV.L-9. RNAcentral's name for it is "SSU rRNA". It matches the Rfam family "Microsporidia small subunit ribosomal RNA", at positions 40 to 855 of the family's 1311-position model. The record is from RNAcentral. Lineage: Eukaryota; Fungi; Microsporidia.
AGAUUUAGCCAUGCAUGUGUAAGCGAAGCUAUAUGUKGAKCGGUGAAAGGCUCAGUAACGGGCGAUUUAUUUUAAUCUCCUGKGACGGACCACAUCGGGAAACUGAUGGGAAAACGUCUAAGUUGCAUUAAUAUUAGUGUGACGUAAACGGUAAUCGUGCAGGAGAGUAAGAUGCCAUCCUAUCAGUUAGUAAGUAGGGUAAGGGCCUACUUAGACGAAGACGGGUACGGGGAAUGAGGGUUUGAUUCCGGAGAGGGAGCCUGAGAGAUGGCUACCAGGACCAAGGUCAGCAGCAGGCGCGAAAAUUAUCGAAGCCCGCCUAGGGGCGAUAGUGAGGAGACGUGUAUAACGAAGUACGUGUAAAGAACGUACUAAUAACUGGAGGUCAAGUCUGGUGCCAGCAUCCGCGGUAAUUCCAGCUCCAGGGGUGUCUAUGAUGAUUGCUGCGAUUAAAAAGUCCGUAGUCAAGCUGACUGACUGACCUGCAAUGUGAUUGAUCAAAGAACGAGCAGGGUUAGGAAAGCAGAGAAUUAGGAGCGACCGAGGGCUAGAGUAUUGAAUGGCGAGAGGUGAAAUUUGAUGACCCAUUCAGGAGUGACAAAGGCGAAGGCACUAGUCAAGGGCGAAUCCGAUGAUCACGGACGUAGGCUAGAGUUUCGAAAACGAUUAGAGACCGGAGUAGUUCUAGCAGUAAACUAUGCCGACGCCGUGAUAUUGUUUUUUGUGGCAGUAUUGCGGAUGAGAAUCAAGUUAAGGCUUUGGGGGAGAGUACGCGCGUAGCGAUAAAUUUAAUGGCAAUUGACGGAAGACACACAGGAGUGAGUGUGCGGCUUAUUUGACUCACGCGGGACAGCUUACCAA